This 447-nucleotide ribosomal RNA is filed under the name uncultured bacterium. RNAcentral describes it as "partial 16S ribosomal RNA". It matches the Rfam family "Bacterial small subunit ribosomal RNA", at positions 28 to 523 of the family's 1533-position model. The record is from RNAcentral.
GACGAACGCUGGCGGCAGGCUUAACACAUGCAAGUCGAACGCCCCGCAAGGGGAGUGGCAGACGGGUGAGUAACACGUGGGAACGUACCCUUUGGUUCGGAAUAACUUGGGGAAACUCAAGCUAAUACCGGAUAAGCCCUUAUGGGGAAAGGUUUACUGCCGAAGGAUCGGCCCGCGUCUGAUUAGCUAGUUGGUGAGGUAAUGGCUCACCAAGGCGACGAUCAGUAGCUGGUCUGAGAGGAUGAUCAGCCACACUGGGACUGAGACACGGCCCAGACUCCUACGGGAGGCAGCAGUGGGGAAUAUUGGACAAUGGGGGCAACCCUGAUCCAGCCAUGCCGCGUGAGUGAUGAAGGCCUUAGGGUUGUAAAGCUCUUUUACCCGGGACGAUAAUGACCGUACCGGGAGAAUAAGCCCCGGCUAACUUCGUGCCAGCAGCCGCGGUAA